Molecule: ribosomal RNA, 637 nt
Filed under: Neopsilenchus magnidens
Lineage: Eukaryota; Metazoa; Nematoda; Chromadorea; Rhabditida; Tylenchidae
Description: SSU rRNA
Rfam family: Eukaryotic small subunit ribosomal RNA
Source: RNAcentral
GGCGAUCAGAUACCGCCCUAGUUCUGACCGUAAACGAUGCCAACUAGCGAUCUGCCGGCGGAUAUUUCGCCCUGGUGGGGAGCUUUCCGGAAACGAAAGUCUUCCGGUUCCGGGGGAAGUAUGGUUGCAAAGCUGAAACUUAAAGGAAUUGACGGAAGGGCACCACCAGGAGUGGAGCCUGCGGCUUAAUUUGACUCAACACGGGGAAACUCACCCGGGCCGGACACCGUAAGGAUUGACAGAUUGAUAGCUUUUUCAUGAUUCGGUGGAUGGUGGUGCAUGGCCGUUCUUAGUUCGUGGAGCGAUUUGUCUGGUUUAUUCCGAUAACGAGCGAGACUCUAGCCUACUAAAUAGUUCGCACAUUGUCAACUUGUGUGCGCUUACUUCUUAGAGGGAUUUUCGGUGUUCAGCCGCACGAGAUUGAGCAAUAACAGGUCUGUGAUGCCCUUAGAUGUCCGGGGCUGCACGCGCGCUACACUGGCGAAAUCAGCGUGCUUAUCCUCUCUCGAAAGGGAUUGGUAAACCAAUGAAAAUUUGCCGUGAUUGGGAUCGGAAAUUGCAAUUAUUUUCCGUGAACGAUGAAUUCCAAGUAAGUGCGAGUCAUCAACUCGCGUUGAUUACGUCCCUGCCCUUUGUA